RNAcentral lists this ribosomal RNA (349 nucleotides) under Escherichia coli. RNAcentral describes it as "bacterial SSU rRNA". It matches the Rfam family "Bacterial small subunit ribosomal RNA", at positions 401 to 744 of the family's 1533-position model. The record is from RNAcentral. Lineage: Bacteria; Pseudomonadati; Pseudomonadota; Gammaproteobacteria; Enterobacterales; Enterobacteriaceae.
GUAUGAAGAAGGCCUUCGGGUUGUAAAGUACUUUCAGCGGGGAGGAAGGGAGUAAAGUUAAUACCUUUGCUCAUUGACGUUACCCGCAGAAGAAGCACCGGCUAACUCCGUGCCAGCAGCCGCGGUAAUACGGAGGGUGCAAGCGUUAAUCGGAAUUACUGGGCGUAAAGCGCAUGCAGGCGGUUUGUUAAGUCAGAUGUGAAAUCCCCGGGCUCAACCUGGGAACUGCAUCUGAUACUGGCAAGCUUGAGUCUCGUAGAGGGGGGUAGAAUUCCAGGUGUAGCGGUGAAAUGCGUAGAGAUCUGGAGGAAUACCGGUGGCGAAGGCGGCCCCCUGGACGAAGACUGAC